CCUACGGGCGGCAGCAGUGAGGAAUAUUGGUCAAUGGGCGUAAGCCUGAACCAGCCAAGUAGCGUGAAGGAUGAAUGCUCUAUGGGUUGUACACCUCUUUUAUAAGGGAAUAAAGUGCAGGAUGUGUACUGCUUUGCAUGUACCUUAUGAAUAAGUAUCGGCUAACUCCGUGCCAGCAGCCGCGGUAAUACGGAGGAUCCGAGCUUUAUCCGGAUUUAUUGGGUUUAAAGGGAGCGUAGGCGGGCUUUUAAGUCAGUUGUGAAAGUUUGCGGCUCAACCGUAAAAUUGCAGUUGAAACUGGCAGACUUGAGUAUGGUAGAGGUAGGCGGAAUGCGUGGUGUAGCGGUGAAAUGCUUAGAUAUCACGCAGAACCCCGAUUGCGAAGGCAGCCUGC
RNAcentral lists this ribosomal RNA (394 nucleotides) under uncultured bacterium. RNAcentral's name for it is "partial 16S ribosomal RNA". It matches the Rfam family "Bacterial small subunit ribosomal RNA", at positions 338 to 729 of the family's 1533-position model. The record is from RNAcentral.